CAGGUAGUUGGCGGGGUAACGGCCCACCAAGCCUUCGAUCAGUAACUGGUGUGAGAGCACGACCAGUCACACGGGCACUGAGACACGGGCCCGACUCCUACGGGAGGCAGCAGUAAGGAAUAUUGGUCAAUGGACGCAAGUCUGAACCAGCCAUGCCGCGUGGAGGAUGAAGGUCCUCUGGAUUGUAAACUUCUUUUAUUUGGGAAGAAAUGUCCGAAUUCUUUCGGGCUUGACGGUACCAGAUGAAUAAGCACCGGCUAACUCCGUGCCAGCAGCCGCGGUAAUACGGAGGGUGCAAGCGUUAUCCGGAUUUACUGGGUUUAAAGGGUGCGCAGGCGGAUAUGUAAGUCAGUGGUGAAAUCUCCGGGCUUAACCCGGAAACUGCCGUUGAUACUAUAUAUCUUGAAUGCUGUGGAGGUAAGCAGAAUAUGUCAUGUAGCGGUGAAAUGCUUAGAUAUGACAUAGAAUACCGAUUGCGAAGGCAGCUUACUACACAGAUAUUGACGCUC
RNAcentral lists this ribosomal RNA (509 nucleotides) under uncultured Bacteroidota bacterium. RNAcentral's name for it is "SSU rRNA". It matches the Rfam family "Bacterial small subunit ribosomal RNA", at positions 242 to 748 of the family's 1533-position model. The record is from RNAcentral. Lineage: Bacteria; Pseudomonadati; Bacteroidota.